UUAGGAAGGAGCCGUUAGGAUAGUAUGC
This 28-nucleotide small RNA is filed under the name Bombyx mori (domestic silkworm). RNAcentral's name for it is "ovarian small RNA-36725". Lineage: Eukaryota; Metazoa; Arthropoda; Insecta; Lepidoptera; Bombycidae. The record is from RNAcentral.